CUGGCAUACUGUUUUCAGUUCAUGGUAAGAAUAUAAGGUAGGUUUUUACUAUAAAUAAAGAUAUUUAGCUAUGAAUCCUGUCUCCUACUGCUUAGGGCACUACCAACCUUAUGGUAGGUACUUAGUAAUUAUUUGUUGAAUAAGCGAAACUUGCUGUAUUAGUCUGGGUUCUCCAGAGAAACAGAAUCAAUGGGAUAGAUAGAUAGACGGAUAGCUAUAGACAGAUACAGAUCUCUCUCUCUCUCUCUCUCUCUCUGUGUGUGUGUGUGUUUGUGUAGUGUGUAGAGAGAGAGAGAGGGGGGUGCAUUUACUAUCAUGAAUUAGCUUAUAUGAAUAUUGAGACUGAGAAGUCGGAGAUCAGCAGUUGGCAAACUUGAGAUCCAGAAGAGCUAAUGGUAUUAAUUCUAGUUUGAGUCCAAAGACCUGAGAACCAGGAUGUCCAAUGGUGUGAGUUCCGGUUCAAUUUCAAAGGCAGAAGAACAAUGUCCCAGCUCAAAUAUAGUCAGAUGGAGAUAAACAAUUCUUUCUUACUCAUCCUUUUCGUUCUAUUCAGGCCUUCAAGAAAUUGGGUAAGGGUCAGCCACGUUGGAGAAGGCAGUCUUGCAGACCAGGGAUUCAAAUGUAAAUCUCAUCCAGAAAUACCCUCACAGACACAGCCAGAACUAAUGUUUAACUAAGUAUCUGGGCACCUCAUGGCCCAGUCAAUUUGACACAAAAUUAACCCUCACACUUGCUAUAGUCACACAAGUUUCCACAAAUUAUUAAUGGAGACUAAUAAGUAAAUAAUACUGUUAUCAGGAUCUAGUGUGCUCAGACUGUUGUGUACAGGGGCAUCUUUACCCACAAAAAUUUAGAUAAUCAAUCAUGACAGACAGAAGUUUAGCCCUCCUUAGUUUCUCAUGUCUGUUGAUGUUGAUAUUAACAUGGUCUUGCUAAAUCAACUGAGAAUAAUGAAUUCAGAACUAUAAGGGGACAAGGCAAUUAUCUUUAAAAUAUAGGAAGGAUGCUAUAAAGUUUAUCUCCAGAUGUUUGAUUGCCCAUGGAGUUGACAUGGUGAUAGAAAUAGAAGCAUUGUACACUGAAAAACAAAAUAUCCUUGUUUCAUUUUUAUCAGAUACCUAAAACAUUUGAAAGUUUCGUAGGUAAUGGGACUCAAAACAGGCAAGGUCAGGUCAGAGUUAAACAGAGAAGAUUGUUUCUGCAAAACUGGAGCACUGUGGAAUGUAUAUCUAGCUGAAUUAGGAAAAGAAAUGGAAAAAGGAAAGAAAAUCACCGGUGUAGUUUAUAACUCUGUGUGGGCUGAACCCAGCCAUCCCUCUGUCUCUAUUCACUUUAAGAGGUCAAAAAAUCUGCUUUCUUUUUAACAUCUCUUCUUUUUUUAACAUGAACAAAUAACAAUUUUAAAUCUCCAAUAUCUGGAUUAUGGGACUGAAUCUUUGUUAUUUUCC
Molecule: long non-coding RNA, 1448 nt
Filed under: Homo sapiens (human)
Lineage: Eukaryota; Metazoa; Chordata; Mammalia; Primates; Hominidae
Description: HSALNT0090571
Source: RNAcentral